UAGAGGGUCGACGGUCUACUGUAAUCCGUAGAGGGUCGACGGUCUACUGUAAUCCGUAGAGGGUCGACGGUCUACUGUAAUCCGUAGAGGGCCGACGGUCGACUGUAAUCCGUAGAGGGUCGACGGUCGACUGUAAUCCGUAGAGGGUCGACGGUCGACUGUAAUCCGGAUAGGGUCGACGGUCCACUGUAAUCCGGAGAGGGUCGACGGUCUACUGUAAUCCGGAGAGGGUCGACGGUCUACUGUAAUCCGGAGAGGGUCGACGGUCUACUGUAAUCCGUAGAGGGUCGACGGUCUACUGUAAUCCGUAGAGGGUCGACGGUCUACUGUAAAUCCGUAGAGGGUCGACGGUCUACUGUAAUCCGUAGAGGGUCGACGGUCUACUGUAAUCCGUAGAGGGUCGACGGUCUACUGUAAUCCGUAGAGGGUCGACGGUCUACUGUAAUCCGGAUAGGGUCGACGGUCUACUGUAAAACGUAGAGGGUUGACAGAUGUAAGAGAUACAGAUGUUUUGUAAGUCACAUGUUGUUAAUCGAUGAUGUUUCUGACUAACUGAGCAGCCAGACACGGAGCAGAAAGACGAGGAGGAGGAGGAGGAGGAGAGCAGGCCGUCUAUGGAUCUGUUCAAGGCCAUCUUCGCCAGUUCAUCAGACGAGAAGUCUUCCUCUUCUUCUGAAGGAGAGAGUGAGGAGGAGGAGGAGGAGAAGGAGGAAGGUGUUCGGAGCAAGGCUGGGACUGGGCCUCAGAUAUCUAACCAGUUGAAUGUCAACACAACCCAGCCUGCUCCUCCUGUGUCGACUACACCCAGCCAGAACCCAGACGUUGUGUUCAAAAUGCCUAGUGGUCCUGCCGCUGCCCCUCCCCCUCGGGACCAGGAAAUGGAAGAGGAGGAGUUUGGACCUCGGCUGCCUCCUCCUUCCUCUACAUUGACAGCGGAGCGCCGUCCGUCCCCGACUCCCUCUGCUAAGGACGACAAGCACAAGAAGAAGUGUAAGGAGAAGCACAAAGCCAAGAAACACGGCAAGCACAAGAAGGACAAGAAGAAGAAGAAGAACAAGAGGCACAAGCACAAAGGCAAGCAGAAGAAGAGCAGUAGGAAGGAGGAGUCAUCAGACAGCAGCUCAGAGGGGAGUGACGGGAACAGCCAGGAGGACGGAGAGGAGGGGGGAGGGGUAUCAACAGAAGAGCUGCUCAGAAGGUUGAAGGGCAUCCGUGGGAAGAAUCUGCAGUGAAUCUGUGAUCCGACAGACAACAGGAUGUCCUCUAUGAGGACAGAUAUCUGGAGACGGGAACCAUUCUGUAUGAAUUCCAAUAGCCCUGUAGUUAUGAUGCUGAUGAAAGUCUUACUUUACAUUUUAAAUUGUAAUUCUGAUGAGAUGUGAGUUUUUUUUUUGCUGAUCUCGGACUGAUAUGUGGAGAGAGGUCUAUCAUCUGUUAAUCAAUAAAAAUGUGAGAUUUUGUUGUUGUUGCUGUCUCUGUUAUUAUCGUGUUUUUCCAGAAAGACAACCAUCUCUACAGCAUUCUACCAUAAAGUCCUGUUUUGGUGGAGUGGCCAGAUGGAAGCCACUCCUCAGUAAAAGGCACAUGACGGCCCGCUUGGAGUUUUGCCAAAAGGCAC
Oncorhynchus tshawytscha (Chinook salmon) is the source of this 1618-nucleotide long non-coding RNA. The record is from Ensembl. NCBI's taxonomy places the organism in Eukaryota, Metazoa, Chordata, Actinopteri, Salmoniformes, Salmonidae.